CUCAGGAUGAACGCUAGCGGGAGGCUUAACACAUGCAAGUCGAGGGGCAUCACGAGGUAGCAAUACUUUGGUGGCGACCGGCGCACGGGUGAGUAACGCGUAUGUAACCUACCCUGUACAGGGGGAUAGCCCGGAGAAAUUCGGAUUAAUACCCCAUAAAGAUAUCGAGAGGCAUCUUUUGAUAUUUAAAGUUUCGACGGUACGGGAUGGGCAUGCGUAACAUUAGCUAGUUGGUAAGGUAACGGCUUACCAAGGCAACGAUGUUUAGGGGUCCUGAGAGGGUGAUCCCCCACACUGGUACUGAGACACGGACCAGACUCCUACGGGAGGCAGCAGUGAGGAAUAUUGGUCAAUGGGCGUAAGCCUGAACCAGCCAUCCCGCGUGAAGGAAGACGGCGCUAUGCGUUGUAAACUUCUUUUCCGGAGGAAUAAAAUUUCGUACGUGUACGGAACUGAAGGUACUCCGGGAAUAAGCAUCGGCUAACUCCGUGCCAGCAGCCGCGGUAAUACGGAGGAUGCGAGCGUUAUCCGGAUUUAUUGGGUUUAAAGGGUGCGUAGGCGGAUUAAUAAGUCAGUGGUGAAAACCUUCAGCUUAACUGGAGACUUGCCAUUGAUACUGUUAGUCUUGAGUACGGUCAAGGUAGGCGGAAUGUGUAAUGUAGCGGUGAAAUGCUUAGAUAUUACACAGAACACCGAUUG
This 699-nucleotide ribosomal RNA is filed under the name uncultured bacterium. RNAcentral's name for it is "bacterial SSU rRNA". It matches the Rfam family "Bacterial small subunit ribosomal RNA", at positions 23 to 715 of the family's 1533-position model. The record is from RNAcentral.